Paramuricea clavata is the source of this 263-nucleotide non-coding RNA. The record is from the annotation of a GenBank genome assembly. NCBI's taxonomy places the organism in Eukaryota, Metazoa, Cnidaria, Anthozoa, Malacalcyonacea, Plexauridae.
AUUUGGAUGGACGUGACAAUCUUUAUGUAGCCUACAUUGUGUGUCGAAAGAGCGACUCGAGCUGCUUCGUAAAAGGAUGUAGAACUUCUAGUUUUAUGGAUAACGAUAAUGGCGUAAAAGUUGACUUAUUAUAUGUUCGCCGAAUGCGAUAGACAAGUCCUUCAUUGAUAGAAAUCUAUUCUAUAGUUGUUACCUUAAGGUACGAUUAUUUUAUGAUUUAAUUGGUGGGAAAAUGGGCCAUUUAUACUCAGAAAUCAUACAAG